CUGACAGCCCUGGAGACUGAAGUCCUCUAUUUAUCCACAGAACAGGUAACAGCAAGGGCAGCAGCAGUGUAAGCUUACCCUGAGUUGCCCCACCAAAGUGUGUCAACCCUGACCUAAGGGGACUCACUUCCGGGGGUGAAAAGGUAGUUCAGUCUCAAUGCCCAGUCAAUCCUUUGCCUCU
Molecule: unclassified non-coding RNA, 181 nt
Organism: Chelonoidis abingdonii (Abingdon island giant tortoise)
Lineage: Eukaryota; Metazoa; Chordata; Testudines; Testudinidae
Source: Ensembl